CUAGAGGUAUAUGUUGGG
RNAcentral lists this non-coding RNA (18 nucleotides) under Arabidopsis thaliana (thale cress). Lineage: Eukaryota; Viridiplantae; Streptophyta; Magnoliopsida; Brassicales; Brassicaceae. The record is from RNAcentral.